GGCUGAGUAGCUCAGUGGCAGAGCGAGGUCUUCAUAAGGCCGAGGUCGGUGGUCCGAAUCCACCCUCAGCCACCU
This 75-nucleotide transfer RNA is filed under the name Candidatus Nealsonbacteria bacterium CG10_big_fil_rev_8_21_14_0_10_40_24. RNAcentral's name for it is "tRNA-Met". It matches the Rfam family "tRNA". Rfam says of the family: Transfer RNA (tRNA) molecules are approximately 80 nucleotides in length. Their secondary structure includes four short double-helical elements and three loops (D, anti-codon, and T loops). The record is from RNAcentral. RNAcentral also lists the same sequence under 1 other name. Lineage: Bacteria; Candidatus Nealsoniibacteriota.